Molecule: transfer RNA, 74 nt
Filed under: Melanostigma atlanticum
Lineage: Eukaryota; Metazoa; Chordata; Actinopteri; Perciformes; Zoarcidae
Description: tRNA-Asn
Source: RNAcentral
UAGACUGAUGUCCACUGGUUUGAGCGCUUAGCUGUUAACUAAGAAUUUGUAGGGUCGAGGUCCGACCGACCAAA